Molecule: non-coding RNA, 110 nt
Filed under: Desulfotignum phosphitoxidans
Lineage: Bacteria; Pseudomonadati; Thermodesulfobacteriota; Desulfobacteria; Desulfobacterales; Desulfobacteraceae
Also listed under: 1 other name
Description: TPP sequence
Rfam family: TPP riboswitch aptamer (THI element)
About the family: Vitamin B(1) in its active form thiamin pyrophosphate (TPP) is an essential coenzyme that is synthesised by coupling of pyrimidine and thiazole moieties in bacteria. The previously detected thiamin-regulatory element, thi box was extended, resulting in a new, highly conserved RNA secondary structure, the THI element, which is widely distributed in eubacteria and also occurs in some archaea. Analysis of operon structures identified a large number of new candidate thiamin-regulated genes, mostly transporters, in various prokaryotic organisms.
Source: RNAcentral
GUGGUGGACUGGGGGAGCCGGGGAGCCGGCUGAGAGGAAACAAACUGCUGUUUCGACCCCUGGAACCUGAUCCAGGUCAUACUGGCGAAGGAAAGUCGAUUCCAAUACUU